GAUGAACGUUGGCGGCGUGCCUAAUACAUGCAAGUCGAACGAAGACUGUAGUAAUACUGUCUUAGUGGCGAACGGGUGAGUAACGCGUGGGUGACCUGCCCCGAAGUGUGGGAUAACAGUUCGAAAGGAUUGCUAAUACUGCAUAAUAUCCAAGAGAUUAGACGCUUUUGGAUUAAAGGAGUAAUUCGCUUCGGGAGGGGCCCGCGUCCCAUCAGCUAGUUGGUAAGGUAAUGGCUUACCAAGGCGAUGACGGGUAGGGGACCUGAGAGGGUGGCCCCCCACAAUGGAACUGAAACACGGUCCAUACACCUACGGGUGGCAGCAGUAGGGAAUAUUAGUAAUGGGCGAAAGCCUGAACUAGCAACGCCGCGUGUGCGAAGAAGGCCUUCGGGUUGUAAAGCACUUUUUGAGAGGAUGAGGAAGGACGGUACUCUCAGAAUAAGUCUCGGCUAACUACGUGCCAGCAGCCGCGGUAACACGUAGGAGGCAAACGUUAUCCGGAUUUACUGGGCGUAAAGCGCGUGUAGGUGGUUUGGUAAGUAGGGCGUGAAAGCUCCUGGCUCAACUGGGAGAGGACGUUCUAAACUGCCAAGCUUGAGGAUGGUAGAGGGAGGUGGAAUUCCGGGUGUAGCGGUGGAAUGCGCAGAUAUCCGGAGGAACACCAGUGGCGAAGGCGGCCUCCUGGACCACUCCUGACACUCAGACGCGAAAGCUAGGGUAGCAAACGGGAUUAGAGACCCCGGUAGUCCUAGCCCUAAACGAUGUAGACUUGGCGUCGGUGGUUUAAUCGCCAUCGGUGUCGUAGCUAACGCGUUAAGUCUACCGCCUGGGGACUACGGCCGCAAGGUUAAAACUCAA
This 858-nucleotide ribosomal RNA is filed under the name Chloroflexi bacterium enrichment culture. RNAcentral's name for it is "bacterial SSU rRNA". It matches the Rfam family "Bacterial small subunit ribosomal RNA", at positions 28 to 904 of the family's 1533-position model. The record is from RNAcentral. Lineage: Bacteria; Bacillati; Chloroflexota.